UUAUCCGGAUUUACUGGGUGUAAAGGGAGCGUAGGUGGCAAGGCAAGCCAGAAGUGAAAACCCGGGGCUCAACCGCGGGAUUGCUUUUGGAACUGUCAUGCUAGAGUGCAGGAGGGGUGAGCGGAAUUCCUAGUGUAGCGGUGAAAUGCGUAGAUAUUAGGAGGAACACCGGAGGCGAAGGCGGCUCACUGGACUGUAACAGACACUGAGGCUCGAAAGCGUGGGGAGCAAACAGGAUUAGAUACCCUGGUAGUCCACGCGGUAAACGAUGAAUACUAGAUGUCGGGUAGCAAAGCUAUUCGGUGUCGUCGCAAACGCAAUAAGUAUUCCACCUGGGGAGUACGUUCGCAAGAAUGAAACUCAA
This 364-nucleotide ribosomal RNA is filed under the name uncultured bacterium. RNAcentral describes it as "bacterial SSU rRNA". It matches the Rfam family "Bacterial small subunit ribosomal RNA", at positions 541 to 904 of the family's 1533-position model. The record is from RNAcentral.